This 497-nucleotide ribosomal RNA is filed under the name uncultured bacterium. RNAcentral's name for it is "partial 16S ribosomal RNA". It matches the Rfam family "Bacterial small subunit ribosomal RNA", at positions 28 to 507 of the family's 1533-position model. The record is from RNAcentral.
GAUGAACGCUGGCGGCGUGCCUAAUACAUGCAAGUCGAGCGAACGGACGAGAAGCUUGCUUCUCUGAUGUUAGCGGCGGACGGGUGAGUAACACGUGGAUAACCUACCUAUAAGACUGGGAUAACUUCGGGAAACCGGAGCUAAUACCGGAUAAUAUUUUGAACCGCAUGGUUCAAAAGUGAAAGACGGUCUUGCUGUCACUUAUAGAUGGAUCCGCGCUGCAUUAGCUAGUUGGUAAGGUAACGGCUUACCAAGGCAACGAUGCAUAGCCGACCUGAGAGGGUGAUCGGCCACACUGGAACUGAGACACGGUCCAGACUCCUACGGGAGGCAGCAGUAGGGAAUCUUCCGCAAUGGGCGAAAGCCUGACGGAGCAACGCCGCGUGAGUGAUGAAGGUCUUCGGAUCGUAAAACUCUGUUAUUAGGGAAGAACAUAUGUGUAAGUAACUGUACACAUCUUGACGGUACUUAAUCAGAAAGCCACGGCUAACUACGUG